Molecule: ribosomal RNA, 254 nt
Filed under: uncultured bacterium
Lineage: Bacteria
Description: partial 16S ribosomal RNA
Rfam family: Bacterial small subunit ribosomal RNA
Source: RNAcentral
UACGGGGGGAGCAAGCGUUGUUCGGAUUUACUGGGCGUAAAGGGCGCGUAGGCGGCCAGCGCAAGUCAGUUGUGAAAUCUCCGGGCUUAACUCGGAACGGUCAACUGAUACUGCGCGGCUAGAGUGCAGAAGGGGCAACUGGAAUUCUCGGCGUAGCGGUGAAAUGCGUAGAUAUCGAGAGGAACACCUGCGGCGAAGGCGGGUUGCUGGGCUGACACUGACGCUGAUGCGCGAAAGCCAGGGGAGCGAACGGG